GGGGGGGGGAAGGGUUGGAGCCGGAGUGUGCACUGUUGUUAGCUUGUGGGUCCAUGACGCCUCUGCGCAUGUGACGCCCAUGAAGCUCCAGCUCCUGGAUUCGUGCGAUGGCGAUGCACGCGCACCCGGCUCCGGAACAAACCCCGCGGUGCUCGCAACGGGUGAGUGAGACAUGGAAGGAGAGCAGAACGCCUGGGCGAAGAUAUACGACGGGCGUGUGAGAGGAGGGAUUUUACAGCCAUUUACAAAAAGCACAUCAGAACCCAGAGGCUAUGUAUGGAACAACUUUUCUACUUUCAUUUAAAAUAUACCAAAGCAGCAAAUUAUAUUGCUAUCGAAGAACAGUAGCUUGGAUCCUGCUCUGGAUGAAGUUGGCAAAACUUCCAUUGAAUUCACUGGAAAUAGCAUCAAACUCCA
Molecule: non-coding RNA, 417 nt
Organism: Pelodiscus sinensis (Chinese soft-shelled turtle)
Lineage: Eukaryota; Metazoa; Chordata; Testudines; Trionychidae
Source: RefSeq, a predicted model, not a curated record